RNAcentral lists this ribosomal RNA (457 nucleotides) under uncultured bacterium. RNAcentral describes it as "bacterial SSU rRNA". It matches the Rfam family "Bacterial small subunit ribosomal RNA", at positions 1 to 446 of the family's 1533-position model. The record is from RNAcentral.
UGAUUGAGUUUGAUCCUGGCUCAGAAUCAACGCUGGCGGCGUGCCUCAUACAUGCAAGUCGAACGCGAACGCGGCCUUCGGGCCGCAAGUAGAGUGGCAGACGGGUGAGUAACGCGUGGGUGACCUGCCUUCGAGUGGGGGAUAACCUUCCGAAAGGAGGGCUAAUACCGCAUAACAUCCCGCCCUUGGAUGGGUGGUGAUCAAAGCCGGGGAUCUUCGGACCUGGCGCUUGAAGAGGGACCCGCGUCCGAUUAGCUUGUUGGUGAGGUAGCGGCUCACUAAGGCGACGAUCGGUAGCCGGCCUGAGAGGGCGGACGGCCACACUGGGACUGAGACACGGUCCAGACCUUUACGGGGGGCAGCAGUCGGGAAUUGUUCGCAAUGGGCGCAAGCCUGACGACGCAACGCCGCGUGGAGGACGAAGAUCUUCGGGUCGUAAACUCCUGUCGAGCGGGAA